AAACUCCAUCUCAAAAAAACCCAAAAAAAACAGUGGACUAAUUUUGAGUUUUGCAUAGUGUGCCUCACUUUCUUUGUAAGUAUUCCAUUCCUUCCUAGGCCUCGUUUUGGCCACUUUAGGGCCUGAGGACCAGGAGGCUGAUGGACAUGAGGUCUUCUGUGCAUUCUCUACCAUUAGACCUAGGAGAGGCAGAGAAAGUGAUUUUAGGGAUUGUUAGCACAUAAGGAUUAAACUUCCUUAUAUAUGAGGAAGUUUAAUAAUAUCUUCUCAGAGGAUUGUUUUGAGGAUUAAAUGGCUGGCACCUGGCACAUAGUAGGUACUUAGUAAGCAUUGGUUGUUAUGGGUACCAGGCACUUUUAUAGCAGGAGUCCCUAGUCCCGGGGCAUAGACUGGUACCAGUUCAUGUCCUGUUAGGAACGAGGCCAGGCCGCACAGCAGUUGAGCGGCGGGUGGAAAAGCAUUACCGCCCAAGCUCCACCUCCUGUCAGGUCAGUGGUGGCAUGAGAUUCUCAUAGGAGCGUGAACCCUGCUGUGAACUGCGCGCGUGAGGGAUCUAGGUUGUGUGCUCCUUAUGAGAAUCUAAAGCCUGGUGAUCUCAGGUGGAACAGUUUCAUCCCAAAACCAUUCUCCUCCCCGCCCUGUGGAAAAAUGGUCUUCUACCAAACUGAUCCCUGGUGCCAAAAAGGUUGGGGACUGCUGCUGUAUAGGACAACUCUUUUUAGGAUGAUUCUCCCCUGACUUGAUCCCAGAUGAGGAACUGCCAUGGCUCUAAGGCCUCAUGAAGGGUGGGCCUCUCCACAAGUGGACUCAGCCGUUAGGAGUCAUCUCCUGAAAUCCUGGAUUCCAGAGGCAUAGCCAGACUGAAAAGGGACCUGUGUCUUUAUUUAAAAAAUUAAAAUAUAUAUUUUGUAGAGAUGGAGUCUCCCACUGUUUCAAAGGCUGGUCUCAAACUCCUGGUCUCAAGUGAUCUUCCCACCUCAGCCUCCCAAGGCAUUGGGAUUACAGGCAUAAGCCACCGACCUGUCCUUGUGUGUUUUCGAAUGCCCUGGAUAGAAGGCAGGAGCCCUAGGACCUGCUGACAGGGCCAGUCCCCAGGGACUGCCUAAUCCUAGCAAGUCCCCGCCCUCCCUGGGCCUUGGCUUUUCUAUCUAAACAAUGGGAACAAUAUGCUAGAAAGUGCUGCA
Sapajus apella (tufted capuchin) is the source of this 1184-nucleotide long non-coding RNA. RefSeq lists it as uncharacterized. The record is from RefSeq and is a predicted model, not a curated record. Lineage: Eukaryota; Metazoa; Chordata; Mammalia; Primates; Cebidae. The transcript is spliced from 2 exons.